AUCCCAUUCUGGCAGAACUAGAUAAAAUAGAUUAACAAAGAAAAUGCACUGAAAAGCAGAGGGUCUAGCUAUCUCAGUUCAACCAGGAUUUAACAAGUGAUACCUUUUCACAUGACCUCACACACAGGCCAAGCAUAUUGCUUCUGAUUCCUGAUUAUGCAGGAAGGUCAGGGAUCUAUUCAGACUGAAAUGUAAAUGAAGGCAUCAAAUUCAAUAGGCUUUCUAUAUCACGUAGAUCAUUUCUGCUGACAGAUUUCACUUUCCCUAUGGUUUCCUGUUACAUAAAUCAGAAUUUCAAAUCUUGCAGGAACAAUAUAUCCGUAGUAUACAUACAUUCAUAUACACGUUUUGAAGAUAUUUAUAUACACAGUUGCUCAUAGUGAUGAUACUUUCUUGGCUGACCGGGAAUAUCUAGCAUUCCUGCUAAUGUUUAUGAGAGUACUAGAAGACCAGGAACCUGAGUUGGGACACAGGAGUAACAAUGACACCAAGUGGAAGCCUGGAGUAUUUCAUCUUAAUUUGGAC
Molecule: non-coding RNA, 525 nt
Organism: Pelobates cultripes (western spadefoot toad)
Lineage: Eukaryota; Metazoa; Chordata; Amphibia; Anura; Pelobatidae
Source: the annotation of a GenBank genome assembly